This 434-nucleotide ribosomal RNA is filed under the name uncultured bacterium. Its description in RNAcentral is "partial 16S ribosomal RNA". It matches the Rfam family "Bacterial small subunit ribosomal RNA", at positions 29 to 507 of the family's 1533-position model. The record is from RNAcentral.
AGCGAACGCUGGCGGCAGGCCUAACACAUGCAAGUCGAACGAACCUUUCGGGGUUAGUGGCGGACGGGUGAGUAACACGUGGGAACGUGCCUUUAGGUUCGGAAUAACUCAGGGAAACUUGUGCUAAUACCGAAUGUGCCCUUCGGGGGAAAGAUUAAUCGCCUUUAGAGCGGCCGGCGUCUGAUUAGCUAGUUGGUUGAGGUAAUGGCUCACCAAGGCGACGAUCAGUAGCUGGUCUGAGAGGAUGAUUAGCCACAUUGGGACUGAGACACGGCCCAAACUCCUACGGGAGGCAGCAGUGGGGAAUCUUGCGCAAUGGGCGAAAGCCUGACGCAGCCAUGCCGCGUGAAUGAUGAAGGUCUUAGGAUUGUAAAAUUCUUUCACCGGGGACGAUAAUGACGGUACCCGGAGAAGAAGCCCCGGCUAACUUCGUG